Trematomus bernacchii (emerald rockcod) is the source of this 233-nucleotide long non-coding RNA. RefSeq lists it as uncharacterized. The record is from RefSeq and is a predicted model, not a curated record. The transcript has 3 exons. Lineage: Eukaryota; Metazoa; Chordata; Actinopteri; Perciformes; Nototheniidae.
GAAACCUCUGAGUAUAUGUAACUCUUGUAACUUCUCUCUUCCAGGUUGGUGGUGGUGGAUCAUCGUUGUGAUAGUGGGUGUUGCAGCACUCACAAUAAUCACUGUGGCUGUCAUCAGACGGAAGAGGACUCAAGGGAAUGAAACGCAGACGGAUGACAACGUGGCUGAUCCUGAAGAUGGUGCUUCCUACGCCUCCAUCAGCUACACCAGGAAGAGCAGCAGGAAAGCCAGGG